Molecule: transfer RNA, 82 nt
Filed under: Patescibacteria group bacterium
Lineage: Bacteria
Also listed under: 2 other names
Description: tRNA-Leu
Rfam family: tRNA
About the family: Transfer RNA (tRNA) molecules are approximately 80 nucleotides in length. Their secondary structure includes four short double-helical elements and three loops (D, anti-codon, and T loops).
Source: RNAcentral
GGUCCAGUGGUGGAACUGGUAUACACGCGACACUUAAAAUGUCGUGCUUUAGGGCAUGUGGGUUCGAGUCCCACCUGGACCA